GUCCUUACUAAUCUUAUAAGAUAACCCUAAAAAAUUACUCAUAUAUUAAUCCUACUAAUAUAAUUCAAACUAAAAGUACUAAAAAGGAAAACUCAUCAAUUUAAAGUAGUGAUAAUCCACGUACCUUGUGCAUUAUGGUUUUACAAGCUAAAUAUUAAAAACAACUCUCCCGAAUCCUACGCGAGUUGCUCCCAUAUUGCUAAGAGCUCACUACUAGUUGUGGCAUCAACUUUAGAAAAUAUGGGGGCAGAGGCUACAUACCACCCGCGCUAGAAAAUCGCUGGUUUUCAAUAAAAUUUAUUAAUUAAAACAUGUAAUACUAUUACAGUGUAAGAUUUCAGAGGACAAGCCCUGUAAUCCUAAGCUAAUAUCUUAAUUCAUAUCGACAUUAGGCCUAAAAACAGCCACCCUUAUCACUUUACCGUAUUAAUUAGUUAAUUAAUUAAUAUCAUUUUAUGCUCCUACUAUUUGAAAGUUGGGAAAAAUAAUAAAUCCUUAAAUAUUCUGUAAAAAUAAGUAUUUAAAAUCAAUUAAGCAAUAAUUUUAAAAUAUAAUUUAAUUUAAUAUACAAUCACUUAUAAAGGAACUCGGCAAAUCAUUAUUUCGACUGUUUAACAAAAACAUUGCUUUAUGAAAACUAAUAAAAAGUAAUCCUGCCCAG
Molecule: ribosomal RNA, 661 nt
Filed under: Scherotheca corsicana
Lineage: Eukaryota; Metazoa; Annelida; Clitellata; Crassiclitellata; Lumbricidae
Description: partial 16S ribosomal RNA
Source: RNAcentral